GACGAACGCUGGCGGCGCGCCUAACACAUGCAAGUCGAGCGGAGAUAUUUGAAGGAAGUUUUCGGAUGGAAUUUGGGUAUUUUAGCGGCGGACGGGUGAGUAACGCGUGAGUGACCUGCCAUCCACAGGGGGAUAACGUACCGAAAGGUACACUAAUACCGCAUGAGACCACAGCACUGCCUGGUGCAGGGGUCAAAGGAGCAAUCCGGUGGAAGAUGGACUCGCGUCCGAUUAGAUAGUUGGUGGGGUAACGGCCUACCAAGUCAGCGAUCGGUAGCCGACCUGAGAGGGUGAUCGGCCACAUUGGAACUGAGAGACGGUCCAAACUCCUACGGGAGGCAGCAGUGGGGAAUAUUGGGCAAUGGGGGAAACCCUGACCCAGCGACGCCGCGUGAGGGAAGAAGGUUUUCGGAUUGUAAACCUCUGUUCUUGGUGAAGAGGGAAAGACGGUAGCCAAGGAGGAAGCCCCGGCUAACUACGUGCCAGCCGCCGCAGUAA
This 498-nucleotide ribosomal RNA is filed under the name uncultured bacterium. Its description in RNAcentral is "partial 16S ribosomal RNA". It matches the Rfam family "Bacterial small subunit ribosomal RNA", at positions 28 to 523 of the family's 1533-position model. The record is from RNAcentral.